GACGAACGCUGGCGGCGUGCUUAACACAUGCAAGUCGAACGGAAAGGCCCUGCUUUUGUGGGGUGCUCAAGUGGCGAACGGGUGAGUAACACGUGAGUAACCUGCCCUUGACUUUGGGAUAACUUCAGGAAACUGGGGCUAAUACCGGAUAGGAGCUCCUGCUGCAUGGUGGGGGUUGGAAAGUUUCGGCGGUUGGGGAUGGACUCGCGGCUUAUCAGCUUGUUGGUGGGGUAGUGGCUUACCAAGGCUUUGACGGGUAGCCGGCCUGAGAGGGUGACCGGCCACAUUGGGACUGAGAUACGGCCCAGACUCCUACGGGAGGCAGCAGUGGGGAAUAUUGCACAAUGGGCGGAAGCCUGAUGCAACAACGCCGCGUGCGGGAUGACGGCCUUCGGGUUGUAAACCGCUUUCGCCUGUGACGAAGCGUGAGUGACGGUAAUGGGUAAAGAAGCACCGGCUAACUACGUGCCAGCAGCCGCGGUGAUACGUAGGGUGCGAGCGUUGUCCGGAUUUAUUGGGCGUAAAGGGCUCGUAGGUGGUUGAUCGCGUCGGAAGUGUAAUCUUGGGGCUUAACCCUGAGCGUGCUUUCGAUACGGGUUGACUUGAGGAAGGUAGGGGAGAAUGGAAUUCCUGGUGGAGCGGUGGAAUGCGCAGAUAUCAGGAGGAACACCAGUGGCGAAGGCGGUUCUCUGGGCCUUUCCUGACGCUGAGGAGCGAAAGCGUGGGGAGCGAACAGGCUUAGAUACCCUGGUAGUCCACGCUGUAAACGGUGGGUACUAGGUGUGGGGUCCAUUCCACGGGUUCCGUGCCGUAGCUAACGCUUUAAGUACCCCGCCUGGGGAGUACGGCCGCAAGGCUAAAACUCAAAGGAAUUGACGGGGCCCCGCACAAGCGGCGGAGCAUGCGGAUUAAUUCGAUGCAACGCGUAGAACCUUACCUGGGUUUGACAUGGAUCGGGAGUGCUCAGAGAUGGGUGUGCCUCUUUUGGGGUCGGUUCACAGGUGGUGCAUGGCUGUCGUCAGCUCGUGUCGUGAGAUGUUGGGUUAAGUCCCGCAACGAGCGCAACCCUUGUUCACUGUUGCCAGCACGUUAUGGUGGGGACUCAGUGGAGACCGCCGGGGUCAACUCGGAGGAAGGUGGGGAUGACGUCAAGUCAUCAUGCCCCUUAUGUCCAGGGCUUCACGCAUGCUACAAUGGCUGGUACAGAGAGUGGCGAGCCUGUGAGGGUGAGCGAAUCUCGGAAAGCCGGUCUCAGUUCGGAUUGGGGUCUGCAACUCGACCUCAUGAAGUCGGAGUCGCUAGUAAUCGCAGAUCAGCAACGCUGCGGUGAAUACGUUCCCGGGGCU
This 1346-nucleotide ribosomal RNA is filed under the name uncultured bacterium. RNAcentral describes it as "partial 16S ribosomal RNA". It matches the Rfam family "Bacterial small subunit ribosomal RNA", at positions 28 to 1381 of the family's 1533-position model. The record is from RNAcentral.